UAGGUUGAGGAGGCGGUGACCGUGGCAGUGGAGGAGGAGGAUGAGGUAGCCAACACUGUUUAUAUAUAUAUACACACAUAUAUAUAUUUUAAUUUGGGUAGCCCCCAAAAUAUUGGGACAUAUAAAAAAAGACAACUCUGUUCCGCAGAGUAGCUGUUGACAUUAUAGUUGCGCAGGAACUUUGUUGACUCUAGAGAACCUCGGGCAAAUCGCACAUCCCCAUGGUGGCAACUUUGCAUGCGGAUGUCAUCCAUAUCAACUUUCAAUGUCAGUUUCUGCACCUACCAUGGUGACCAUGAGUAACGGGGAACCAGGAUUCCAUUCCGUACAGGGACCCUGAGAAACGGCUACCACAUGCAAGGAAGGCAGCAGGCGCGCAAAUGACCCACUCCCGACACGGGAAGGUAGUGACGACAAAUAAGAAUACACGACUCUUUAGAGGCCCUGUAUUUGUAAUGAGUCCACUUAAAAUCCUUUAACUCUGAUCAAUUGAAGAGGAAGUCUGGUGCAGAGCCAUUGACACAUGCGUGCUGCAGU
RNAcentral lists this ribosomal RNA (537 nucleotides) under Pelobates cultripes (western spadefoot toad). It matches the Rfam family "Eukaryotic small subunit ribosomal RNA", at positions 60 to 580 of the family's 1831-position model. The record is from RNAcentral. Lineage: Eukaryota; Metazoa; Chordata; Amphibia; Anura; Pelobatidae.